Long non-coding RNA from Equus asinus (donkey), 16331 nucleotides. Lineage: Eukaryota; Metazoa; Chordata; Mammalia; Perissodactyla; Equidae. The record is from Ensembl.
AAGCAAGAAGGCUGCUUGACCCAGCCCUGAGCAUUUGGCAGCAUUCAGGCCCUUCCUCUCUCUCCACUCUGCUCUAUUGCUGGCUCUCCAAAUCGUUCUCUGGGCUUCAGACUCCUCGGAAAGUGGGGGACAGACCCCUGCUAUCAGCGAACCAAGACUUUCUGCCCCCAGGGAGGCCUGGGAGGAGGUGCCGGUGAAUCAGGGGCUCUAAAGGGCCACCCAGCACGCCACCCAUCCCUUUGUGACUUAGGGGCCACGGGGUCCUCUGGCUUCGAGGCUGGUAUUUGAUCCCCUGCCGGCCUGUGCAGACAGCCGAGGGCGUGGACGUGAUGAAAGAACCCAGCGCUCGGGCUGAACAAAGCCGGCAGCGAACGUGCUCAGCCCCUUCAGUUUCUUCGCUGAUGGGUCCAAGCGCGCCCUCUAGCGGCCGCCCCUGGAUCUGCGCCCCCGAGUCUUCACACUCGUGUGCGACUGUUCACCUCAAGCCGGGCCACAGCCUCGGAGCCGUGUGAAGACGGGGCAGGACUGCGUGUCGCUAUCCUCUGAACCCCUUCGCCAGGGCUGUCCUGCAGGCAAGUGUGUGAGUCAGGCUGGACCUACCCCCUGGCGGCUUGGGUCGGGUUCCGUAGUGAGCCCAGCUUCUUAACCCACAAGCGCGCCUACAACUCCUCCCUCCUCCGCCCCCAGCUCUGUUCCCCUUUCCGCCUCAGUUGUCAGGGCCGCCUGCAACCCUGCAUCUCAGGCCGUGGUUUGCAGCGCUGGUUGCUGCUUUCCUUGAAGCCCUUCUUUGCAAAGUUUCUGGGAGCUAAUAUUUCCUGCGUGGAUGAAGCCAAGCCAAUCUGGGUGAGUUGACUGUGGACCUGAAGUUGAAUCUGAUCCAUUCACCUUAACCUAGGUUAUUUUAAAACAUACCACAUCGACUCUUUUCUGUUCCUUGUUACAAAAUUUUAGUAUUGUGGAAUGCUGUGUAGGAAAUUCUGAUCAGAUCAAUCUCUAUGAUCUCCUGGAAGAGCAGUGUAAAUUCCAUCUUUGUUCCCUAUUGAAAAAAAACCCGAACGCUUGAGCACUCAUUGGGUACAUGAAAUUGUUUUAGGUGCUAGGCCCUCCAUUUCCUGUAACCCAAGGGGGGUUCUUUUAGGGCAAUUAGAAGGAAGUAACGUGGCGUUUACUUUUGCACAUAUUCCUUCAAAUUUCUGUUUUCUAUAUUACAAGCUACUGUCCACAGAGGGUCAUAAAUCCCCUGGCGAAGUCAUAUGUUACACCACGUGACUCGCUUUGCAUCUGUUUUGCAGCUGUUCACUUUGCAGUUUUAUUUCGCCUUUUGGAAACCCUAGAGCAGUGCUUCUCAAACAUGCGUGCGCAUACGAAUUGCUCAGGCAUCUUGUUAAAAUGCAGAUUUUGAGUCAGGGGGUCUGGGCAGGGCUGAGAUUCUACCGUUCUAAGGAGAUGCUGGGGGGGCCAAUUCUGCUGCUCUGGACACCACACUUGGAAGAGUAGUAGGAACAAGAGGACUGUGGGAGCUGUCACAGUGUCACGUCAAUGUGCAUGUACUGAGCACCAGGCCGGCUCUGUUGGUUCUGGUCUACUGUUCCCGUCACCCCUUCCCUUUCCCUUUUCUUUUUGAUAUCCUUUACUGUUGUCUUGAAUGGAGAGAAGCUGCGAGAGCAAAGCCAAAAGCCAUGUUGAUACAGGCUCUGUGGGUAGCAUCUUAUGUUGCUUCAGGUCCUCUGGGCUGGAAGAAAACAGAAGGGUCGUGCAGCCAGCUGUCACUGAAACCGGUGUGACCUCUGCAUAUGUGUGUGAGAAGCCAGAAAUAGACCCUAAACCUGUGGUUUCAGUUCCUCAACUUUAUUUUGCUAAAGUGAGAGAAGCAGCAGGAAUCUGCAAGAAGCUAGGAUCUUCUCCCUCCUUGACAUGUGCUGUGAUCGAGGGCGGGGUUUCUCCGCUGUGGCACGCAUGACAUUUACGGCUGGAUCAUUGUUUGCUGUAGGGGAGGGUGAGUGGUCUCUGCGUUGUAGGAUGUUUUCUAGCAUCCUGGGACUCUCCCCACUAGAUGCCAGUUACGACGACAAAAAUAUCUACAGCCUUUCCCAGAUGUCCACUUGGGGGCCAAAAUUGCCCCUGGUUGAGAACCACUGAUCUAGGAUAAGGUAUAAUUUGUCAGUUCUGCUGAAUGUGUAUCUUCUUCAAAGUUAUCUAUCUGCCUUUUCAAAUUGCAUCUUGUUUUCCACUUUCUAGGUGGAAUGUUUCUACGUGGGAUACCACAAAAUGGAAUUUCCAAAUAAGUGAAGCUAAAGCAUAGGGGUUUGUAGUCUGGGCCUGUUCCAACUGACCAGCUCUGGCUACUAGAAACACUAGGUUGAAAAGGGUCUGAGGAUUCUGUAUGGGGUGGGAAAGAACUCUGACUGCCAUAGGGAUGGGCGUGGGGCAGCGGGGCCAUUACGCUUGCCGUGGGUUUGUCUUUUUAAAAAACUAUAAAUUGCCAUCAUUCCUUGCAUCCCAAUAUUCUGUUCGCUCUCAAGGGGGCAGUAGCUGUGGUCUGAUGGAAAGCAUGUUGGUCUUGGGGUCUGAAGAUUUGAGUUGGAAUCUCAGCUAUGAAAUUUACUAAGUAUGACCUUGAAUGAGUGGGUCAUUUAAUCUCCCCAAAUCUCAGUUUCCUCAGCUUGAGAUAUGGGCUGUUCAUCCCUCACUCAUAAGGUGGGUGUGAGGAUUAAAGAAGAUAAAUGAAAGUAUAUAAAUAGUACCUGGUUUAUAGGAGAGCUCAAUAAUACAUGUGUGUUUAUGCAUCCUUUAUUUAUUUAUUCAUCCAAUAAAUAGGUGAAACAAAUUUUGGGCUGGGGAGUAUGGUCCUAUACUGAGUGCUUGGAAAAUUUGAGAAGUUGAAACCAGAGUCCUAAAGGGGCUUGUCCAGAAGGAGAAAAGAAGAGCUGGGAGGAUUGGGCCAGCCAUCCUUUCAAAGUGAAGGUAUAUUUGGAAGUUUGGAAGCCUUCAAACGAGCCCCCACUGGGAGAAUAAUUUGGAAGAGGAAGAGAUAUCUGUAUUUGUAGAGAUGACUCAUUAGGGAAGCCAUAAUGAGUUCUCAGAAGUGUGGUCCUGGAACCAGCAGCACCAGCGUCACCGGGAGCUUGUCAGAAAUGCACUCAGAAAGGCCAGGACCUAAAGCUCACUUGAUUCAUAGGCAAGACACUCAGGCCCUCACUCAGACUUAUGUUCUUUGGCUUGCUUCUUUUUUCUUUGAGGAAGAUUAGCCCUGAGCUAACAUCUGCUUCCAAUCCUCCUCUUUUUGCUGAGGAAGACUGGCCCUGAGCUAACAUCCAUGCCCAUCUUCCUCUACUUUAUAUGUGGGACGCCUACCACGGCGUGGCUUGCUAAGCGGUGCCAUGUCCGCAUCCGGGAUUUGAACCGGUGAGCCCUGGGCCACCGAAGCGGAACGUGUGACCUUAACCGCUGUGCCACCGGGCUGGCCCCAACUUGCUUCUUACAAAGUAUACAUUUUCUAAUCCAUAGCAGAGAAGAAUCAGCGUAUUAGAAGAGGUGAUGUGGAACUAUUGCAAGUUGGAACAAUGAAAGCAAAAAUAAGGUGAAAAUUGGUAAAGAAUGAAAAACAUUCAAAUGUUAAGACUGAACUUGGAUCCUCUGAUGCAGGGCAGACAGCCACAUACCCCUCAAUAAGUCCUGUGGUCAUUACUUAAUAUUCUAAAAAUAGAUACCUGUGAUGUCGGCCUAGAAUCAUCAAGAAAAAUUUAAACCGUGUUUUAUGUUCUCUGUUUAAAAUCAGAGGAUGGUGUAGAUUUCAGAAAGAUUUUUAAGAUAAAAAAAUACACUUCAAAUAAAUACAUUUUAAGUAUUUUGAAGAGUUAGCUUUACUUACUUGGGAAUUUCACUUUGGGGCAUGCUUUCUUCCCCAAGAAAUGGAUCAUGAAGCAUCACUGUAACCUGUCAGAGGUCAGGAGCCCUGCCCCGUACAACCUACUUGAGCACACUGCAAGGACCCUGCAAAGACGCGUUGACUGAUUAAGCUUCUCUGGAGGCAUUGAGAAAAAAUAGAAACUCAAUUGUAUUAUAGUCAUCAUGCUGUUCCCACCUUGCCCCGUUAUUGCUUCUAUCUUCAAAGCCACACAUGUCUGUUCAUUUUCUGUCCUGUUUGCUUCUUUCUUUCUAUGGAGAAAAUGAAAUUAUGCAUGGAGAGCAACCUUGCUGAGAACAUUUGUUUCCCUUCCAGGUUGUCUCUCCAUGGCAGCAACCUCACCUGCUAGCUCCCUGUAGGUACUAAUCAUAAUUACAGAUCUUCAGGAGUUAAGUGAAUUUCACCCCUUGUCACCAGCUAUGAAGGUCAUUGCUUCCGGGAUUGGCUAUUUGUUGAGAAGACUUAUUAGGGAAGCCUUAAUGAAUUCUCAAAGUGUGGUCCCUGGACCAGCCGCAUCAGCAUCACCUGGGAGCUUGUCAGAAAUGCAGAUUUCCAGACCUCACUCAGACCUGCUGAAUUAAAAAACACAGUGGGUGAGGCCCAGCAAUCUUGGUUAACAGCCCUCCAGGUGAUUCUGAUGCAUGGUCAAGUUUGAGAUUCGCUGCCCUAGACCAGAAUACUAACCUUUAUUCAUUUCACCCCUAUGGCACCCCAGGGGGAACAAGUUGUUCUCAAUUCAGAAUAUUUGGGCUAUAAAUCUAGCGAGGUUCCUAAGCUUAGUAGAAAGAACAGGCUGAGAUAAACCUGGGUUUAAAUUCUGGGUCUGCUGCUUUUACUUACAUGUCUUUGAAUGUGUUAUUGGUGCACGUUAAAUAUUAUUAACCAUUUUGAGGCUCAUUUUCCUUAAUGCUUUCUUCAAAAUGCUGCCCCGAAGACAGAAUGAACUAACAUACAUUAAACACCUAGUACCAAGCUUUACACACAAAAAGACUAAAUGUUAGGUCUCUUGCCCUUCCUUAUUUUGUUUAGGCAUCAGAGGUGUUUCCACUUAGAGAAUGUGUUUUCCUAUAAAAACAGCAUUUAGUGCUCAGAACCAAGCGUAUCUGAAACACCAACAUUAGCAUUAUAUUUUGGGUAUGUUACGGGUUAAAUACUAGCCCAACAGGCUUUUGUGUGCUGACCUGGAAACUUAAUUAUCCAUUUAUUUCUUUAUUUCUUUAUUUAGUAAUGCCUUUAAAAAGCACAGUACAAUUUCCUUAUGGGGAAAUAUAUUCCAAGUUCCAAAAAUGUAAUUUACACAUGACUUUUGAGACAUGCUCUGUUCAUUAGAUGUUUCUAGGCAUAUAUUAUAUCUUUAAUAUGAUCCAGAUAGUCAAACUCCAGGAGCCAGAGAUUUAGAAGCUCCAUAAAAUGAGUGCCUUUUCUCAACACUAAUAGUAUUCUUUGUAAUUAAGUAAAACGCAAAGGACAUCACAGUUGUGACUUGGUGCUGACUAUGCUAAGUGGAAAUGAAGAAGUGGGACAUUAGCACAAAGCUGGGCUGACUGAAGCACAGAGGAAAGUGGAAACUCCCUGUUUGAGCUCCUGUUUGGCCAUGAAGUCACACUCAUUGUCUUCAGGAUAAGUCCUCACUGAGCAGCUGUCACCUCAGUCGCCACAUCGUGUGGUGGCUCCAAUGUUAGUGUUCAAAGGCGGAAGCUCCAGCUCCUUGAAAUGAACCAUUUGUAUUUCUGCCUCCCAGGAAAAGCACAGAUUGUGAGAAGCGAUCUCAAUCUUUGUUCAAGGUCGAUGGUAAGUUGUCUUUUCCUUAAAAUUAUUUUGUGAAAAUUUCAGUGGCUGUGUCCCAAGGAGGCUGCUAAUUGAGGCAGUGUUGCCCAGUGGACAACGGUGCCUUCGGGGCAGAAGGUCGGGGUUCUAACCCCAGCCUUACUUGUUACACGUAGUCUGAUCUUUGACAAGUCAUGCGACCUUUCUGAGCCUAAGUUUUCACUUCUGUAGAAGGUAUUAAUAGUGCCCGACCUCACAAAUUCAAAGGACUAUUGUUAUAAGGAACAAAUGAGAUGAUGUUUACAAACAUCUUAACCCUGUCUAUGAUGGACAUGGAAUAUUAAACCAGAAAAAGCCCUAAAAAGGCAGCAGGUGCAACUUUUUUAACCACAGGGGGACCUUUUGAUGGCAGAAGGCACAGGAAGCAAUGACAGAUGGAACAGACUUGAGUAACGGGAGAGAUUUUUCCAGACAACAUUUAACCUAGGAGUUCCUCUUUUCCUACUUCGAGCCAAGGACUCUUUAUCCCUCCCACCCUGACUGGGGUGGUGUUCACAUACCUUUCUCACAGGUGUUUAUAGGAGUGGUUCUGCAGAGGGCAUUUGCAGAAUGGCUUAAUUUAAACACUUCGUAUUGACCACAUUUCAGCAUUUGUGUGGAGCUUUUCAGCUGUCAGUGGGAACAAAUUAACUGGAGCAAUAGAAGCGCCGGUGCAGAAUCUGAGCUUGAAAAGCUGUACACGGUAAAGCCAUGUUGCCCUGUCACUCAGGUUUGCCCUUUACCUGCCAUGGCAGAGAUCUGAAGCUUUAAUCUCUGAUAGGAUAGACCAGAGGGCCUUUGGAUGGGGUACUUCAGUUUAUUUGUGGGUGUGGGCAGUAUAUCACGUCAACACUGUACCAUUUUAAAACAGAGAGACGACGUGACCAUAUGCACGCUACAUUCAGAACGAAGGGACCACUUGCCCUGGUCCUCCAGCGGGCCCACAGAACACUGGCCCAGGGCACUCCCCUCUGGGCAGGAGAUGGAAGGCUGAGAGACUGACCAGCCCAAGAGGAAAGACCCAAAUAUCCUGACAUCAGGGUUUUGCUCCAAAAGGCACCACCCAUACAAUGCUACAGUGAAGUUCAAAGUUGACAAAGCUCGUCAUAAGCUCAGAGCUUUCAAUGAGCUUUUCUUCUUUACUGGUUAUUGUGAGUAGAUGGCCAAAAAGUACUAGAUAUUUGAGAAAAGUCUCUCUCAUGGUAGGUUCGGAUGAAAAAAGCAAAUAAAUAACAGCAACUCAGAGACUGCAUAGACAAGGGAGGGUAAAAAAGAACCUAUUAUUAAAAUCCUCGGAGGGAAAGGAGAGGACACUGCAUCUUGGAUAAAGGAACAAGAGACUAUGAAAAAGAGACAUUCAGAGGCCAAACAUGUGCUUCUGGAAAUUAAAAACUCAAUAAAAGAAAAGGAAAUCAUCUGGAAAGUACAGUAAAAAAAUACACAAAUGGAAACUAGAAUGGGAAUAUAAGGAAAUUAAAGGAUCAGUUCAGGAGAUCCAAUAUCUGAAUAAUGUGAGUCUCCAGAAUGAAAGGACAGAGGGAGCAAAGGAGAUGAAAUCACCAAAAAAUAAUUUAAGAAAAUUUCCCUGAAUUGAAGGAUCUAAGUUGCCAGACUGGAAGGGUCCAUUAAAUGUACAGCAAAAUGGAUAAAAAUAGGCUUACAACAGGCACACAUUGUGAAAAUUCAUGACAUUGGUAACAAAUAAGUUUCUACAAGCUUCCAAAGAGAAAAAAAGAUAAGUCAAAGGGAUUGGAACGAAAAUGGCUUUCGACUUUUUAAGAGCAACAUUGAAAGCAAGAAGAUAGCAGAACAGUGCCUUCAAAGUUGUGAAGGACAAUUAUUCCAUCUUGGAAUUCUAGCCCUAAACUAUCACUUCAGUUUAAGAGUGCGAAAACUACAGGCACACAAAGUCUCAGCAUCUUUAUGUCUCAGGCAACUUUGCUCAAGCUCAUCUCAGGUAGGAUGUACUCUGCUAGAAAUGAGAGAAUGAACAGAGACAGACAUGGGAUACAGGAUUUAGGAUAUCCAGGUAGAAAGGAUGAGAUGAAGUCUCCCGGAGGACGGUGAAAGAAGAUCCUAGACUGAGAGCUGCGCUUGCCGUGGCCAACCGUGCAGACUGGAGGAGUGGACCCGGGAGACAGGGUGAGUGCCGCUGCCUGCAAGAUCUCACUGCCUUUUCUUUCAAACUGAGAACAGCACGUCUGAGGUUCGAGUCACCUUCUUGACUUGGCUUGUCUUGACCACAUGCUGAUGAAAUGCCUGCAUGUACUGCUGCUUAGAUCUGCUGAGGACGUUCAUUUCACCCCACAGAAUUGUUCAGUUUACACUUACUCCUGAGAGCUGGCAAUCAGUCGUGGGUUUAGAAGCAGAAAAUACUCAAUAGUCCAUUUGGAAGGCUGGAUGUCCCGCGCCCGGCCCACACUGCAGUCAUGCCUGGUGCCCCACGAUGGCGAGCUCUGUUUCUGAAGACUCACUGACGAGACCUGGCCCUCCAGCCUUCACCAGAAGUAGCGGAAGUGGAAGCCAGACUGUGACUCAGAGACUGUUCAGCUUUGCUUUUCUUGGGAGCCUUCAUCUAAAAGAGGCCAUAUUGCCUGUUCCUUCCGUGACCAGGCGUGUGCUGAUUACUGAGUCUUUCAAAAUGCAAGAGUAUAUUAUUUAUGGAUACAUGCAUUCGUGCUACAAUUAUUUUUUAAAAAUGCAAAAGAAUGCUUAACAUUAGAGUCAAGAUAGUGGUUAAUUCUCCAGGGAGUGAGUGGAAAGCAGGAUGCAAUUAGGGAGGGACACACAGUGGUCUUUAAAAUGACUUCUAUUUCUUUUUUUUUUUUGAGGAAGAUUAGCCCUGAGCUAACAUCUGCCGCCAAUCCUCCUCUUUUUGCUGAGGAAGCCUGGCCCUGAGCUAACAUCUGUGCCCAUCUUUCUCUACUUUAUAUGUGGGACGCCUACCACAGCAUGGCUUGAUGAGCAGUGCCAUGUCUGCACCUGGAGUAGAUGCUGGAGUUGUGCUGAGCCCCAAAGUGGAAGAUCUAAAGGGGCCUGUUCUUCACGGAUUGAGUCACGGGGAACAUCGAGAAAGAUGAGGCUACUUCUUCACCAACUGCUGUGCUGUGCUGAUGCUUUCGGCCUUAAUUCAGAUAUUACUGGGGGAAAAAGCCCCUAAUUAUAGUCAGUUACUGACUCAUAACCAUACUUUGCUCGUGGUUAUUUCCUCUAAGAAGAAAACAUGUGGUAUUUUUGCCUAAUGGGUGUGUGUGUUUGUAUGUCUGUGUGGUGUUUCUCUCUCCAGAAUGUCUUUACGUGACCUUCAGCCAGAGGGUGGGCCUUCCUAGGAGCUCUUUAAGUCGGCUCCAGCUGUGUACACGGCUGUUGGAUCGCUUUAGCAGACACACCCAGGAUAUGGGUGUGGCUUUGAAAUGCCCAGCUCACAUGCGUGUCAUUUCACGUUACCUUCUGUGGUCAGUAGUAACUGAACAGGAUGCGGAGCUGACCUACUCCUCUGUGCUAGUCCUGACUGUUUAGGUUGCCGGGGACAGGAACCCAGGUCACAGAUUUAAAUCCAGACAGAUUUAUAGGCUCACUUAACGGCAUAGCAUCAGAGGAGAUCCAGGUACAGCUGGAGCCAGACGCUCUUAUAAAAUCAUUGACAGCUGUUUCUAUCUGCUUUCUUCCAUAUUGGCUUCCUUUCCAGGCAGGCUGUUCCCAUUGUGCUGCCUGGAACAGCUACAGCUUGCAUUUUACCUGCUUAGUAAAUCCAGUAUAAAAACACCUCUUGCUCAAUAAUUUCAGCAAAAGUCUGGCGCUCUUAUUGGCCCAGCUAGGGACAUGUGGCCAUCCCUGAAGCGAUCACAUUGGCCACGGUGAUGGAGCGGUCUCACCGACAGCACACGCAUGCCCACCCCUUGUCUCGGGGAGGGAUUCACAUCCACCACGUGACACGGGCUGAGAGCAGAAAGGUAGUUUGCAUUCUAGCAGCUGUUUGUACAGAUAAACUACCCUGGAGUUAAUUUUGAAUAACCAAAUUUUGCAUUUAGUUAUGUUUAGCAUAAAUUUUAGGUCUAAUUUAUGAACUACCGUUAUCUUCUGACCUCGCCAUAUUUUAUGAAUUUCCACACUUAAUGAAGACAGGCUUUAAAAACUUUGAGGUUUCCAAUUCAGACGAGUAAGAAAAUCUCUUUUACUAAAGAAAUUUGACAGCAAUGGAGGCUUUGUGUCUUUAUAUUGAAUGGGGAUAAAAAAACCUCAACAGAAGAAAUCUACUGUUUCUGAUAAAUCUCAGAGCUUAGUUCAGUCUGACCUCGGGUCUUCGGUCCGUUUGACUAAAUCAGCUCACGGUUUGGGUUUAGUUCAAAGGCUUGCAUGUUUAGUCUUCUUACUGGAGGGAUUUCUAACACAGUACCUGGGAAAAGAAAGUGCUUUUGCAUCUAAGAAGUUUCUUCCAAAGUUUCUCCCUUGUUAAAGGGAGACUCGCAUUUCUGAUUUCCUAUUUUGCCUUUUCAGUGGGGGCUUAUGUUAUUCUCUUUCACCAAAAAGCGGACAAGACGUACUUGUUGGUUUCAAAUCCCGCGCUGACUCUGACUUCGCCUCUCUGUGCUUCCGUGUCCUCAUCUGCGGAAACCUCCUGCAUGAUAUUGCUACAUAAACUUCUUAGGACAGGGGCUGAUUAACCCCUUUAGGAGUGUUUGCUGCCAUGAUUGUUAUUUCAUGAGCUCUUGAAGCACAGAACCAUGGGCCUGAUUUGCUUCUGGUUGAGCUGGAAGCUGGGAGGGCAGAGGGCAGAUGCCUGAAGCGAAGCAGCCUAUUAAAAGUAGAAUAGAAAUAGACGAGAGGAAACCCAAGCGCUUUUCUCUUCAGAUAGCUAUCAAACCACGCUUCGCUGCAGACUCUGGGCUUGGUUAUGGCCAGAGAUCAAAGGCUCUCUUAUGUGCAAUGACAUUUCUGAGCACAGGGCUGAGUUAUAAAACUCUUGAAUGGAAGGUUUUGGCACUUGGAACAGCUUGGGAUAGAAAGGCAGGGUUUUCAUAGAGGCGAUUCACGGAACUGCUUAUGCUGGUGGACGAUCCAGACCAUGAUGACUCACAUGUCUCUUUAUUGCUUUGGACCAAGAACUGUUGUUUCCCUUUAAGUCUCUCUGUAGGAGCUGAGCUACAGCCUAGGGCCAAGAUAACUCUUUCAGAAGGACAGUGUGGCUUCAGUGAGUGUGAACAGGAAUAUCCCUUUGUUGGACUCUCGGUUAAGCAUGCUGAACAAGCCAAAUAAGGAUUUUAUUUUUACCAAGGGAUAGAAUUUCUUUUGGAAACUGGCAGCAUCCUUAAUGCUUCUUUAACUUCAAAUAAGCUUUCCUUUUGUCUGUCUGCUAUUUUCAUUUUCUGAAAGCACAGGCUAAAUUUGAUAGUGUGACAAGUAGAGGACAGUAGAACAACGUUGGACUGUUGAAAUCAGUGUGUCUGGGUGGUUGCAUAUGGAACUAGGCAUGGUAGAAGGGGUCAUUUGGAGUCUGGUUUGCCUGAGGUCCUGCUAGGUCUCCUGGGAAAAACGGGGAAGAGGAUUUUUGGACUGAUGGUAAGACCUAGUGUGGUGGGCAGACUUCUAAGAUAGUUCCCACUGUUCCCCACCUCCUGGUACUUACUCCCUUGUGUAAUCUCCUCCUCUUGUAUUCGGGCUGGAUCUGGUGACCUGCUUCUCAGGAAUAGAUCAUGACAAAAGUAACAGACUGCCGCUUCCAUGUUUAUGUUACAAAGACUGUGAUGUCUACCUUGCUAGGACUCUCUCUUGCUGCCACUUUUUCAUUCUCGCUCUUGCCUUCUUGGCUUGCAUGCUUUGAUGGAGCCGGAUGCCUUGUUGGAGAGGCCCACCUGGCAAGGAACUGAGGGUGGCUUCGGGUCAACAUCGUGCAAAGAACUGAGACCCUCAGUCCAAUGCCCCUGAGGAACUGAAUCCUGCCAACAACCAUGCAAGGUGCUGCAAGUGCAUCCUGCCCCGGGUGUAUCUUGAGUUGAUUGCAGCCGUGACCGCCCACCUUGACUUCUGUCUUGUGAGAGGCCCUGAGGCAGAGGACCCAGCUAAGCGGUUCCUGCAUCCCUGCCCUCCAAAACUGUGAGAUAAUUGUGGAUUGUUUAAUCUGCUACAUUUUGGGGUAAUUUUUAACACAGCAAUUGUAAGUAAUAUACCAGGUCAGUAAAAUUUACUAUCUUGAGCAAAGAGGGAAACAAAGCCUGUCUCCAAACUCUGGGGUUUUGGGUAAUUUUAGUGGGUUGGGAACUCACUAUGAAGUAGCAGAUUGUCCUUAAUUCGUGGAGACAGAGGUCCUUGUGGGGUGGUGUUCAUUAUGGUCUCUAAUCCAGUGCCUGGGAGUUAUCCCCACCCUUCGGGAAGGAAUGCUGAACCAGAAGAGACAGGAUUUAUUGGGGAAUCUUAAUUGGACCUGAAGUCACUGGUUGGGAGAAAAAUCAAGAGUAGGAAGUGUUAAGUGUGGGGAGAGAGAGGCAGGUUCAAGUCUUUAUUUGCAGAUAAUAGUGGUUUCAGAAUAAGCUUACCGUGUGGUUGGGAGGAAAAGAAUCACAAAGAAAGGUGAAAUUUCAGGGAGAGGUGCUAUGGAAGCGGCAAAUGGUGAAGGAUUCCUCUGAGCAGCCCAGAAGAAAUGACAUACCAGCGCUAGUGGAGGAGGAAAACCACAUUUCAGGAAAACAAACGAAAACUUAAAUGAAUAAUAAAUUCUCAAUGUGGAAACUCUGAAUAGACGUGGAUAAAGAUAAGGGUAAAAAUAGAUCACACGUCAUCCCACUACGCACAGGGAACCAAUGUUAACAUUUUUGUAUGUUUCUCUUUGUCAGUGCAUAUUUUUAUAUUGUUGAUAUUGUUACCAUAUAUGCAAUUUUUAUUUAAUUAAAAAAUUUAAUUAUGAAAUAAUUCAAACAUGCAAAAAAGUUCAGAAAAUAAUAUGACACCAAAUGCAGUGGCUUAGAUUAAAUUUGCUAGCAAUAGAAUGCCCCUUCACCCCCUUCAAUAAAAUUGGUGUGGACAAGAUAGACAUUUAUUUUUCCCUCAUGUAAAAGAAAUCUGUAGGGACUCAGUCCAGGAUGAGUUGGUAGUUCUACAGCAUCAUCAUUAGGAAUCCAACUUCCAGCUCUCUGCUCCACCAUUCCUGCGAUGCCUUCAUGCUUAUAAGAUGGUUGUUGGAGCUCCAGCAAUUGCAUCCACAUUCUACACCAUAGGAAUGCCUCUUCCUCUUUAAAGAGACCUCUAAGAAGUUUCGUGCAACACUUUCACAUUGUAUUGGCUCAAAUUUAGUCAUGUGGUCACAUCUAAUUGCAUGAUGGGCAGGAAAUUAAGUCUUUCAUUCAAGGUGAUGACAUUGCCAGCUAAGAAAUCUUUGCUACACCAUGGAACCACCAACUGGAUUUAACAUAUAAUACCACUUUGCUACUUUGGAUCUCUUUUUAAAUUUUUUGGAUUAAAAGUGAAGAAUUAAAGGGGCCAGCCCUGUGGUGUAGUGAUUAAGUCCACUGCACUCGGCUUUGGUGGCCUGGGUUCACAGGUUCAGAUCCCAGGCACGGACUUACACCAAUUGUCAAGCCAUGUUGUGGUGGUGACCCACGUGCAAAAUGCAGAAAGAUUGGCACAGAUGUUAGCUCAGGGUGAAGCUUUCUCAGCAAAAAAGAAAAAAAGAAUGAAGAAUUAAACAUAUAGAUAGAUUCCAUUUUCACUGAGGAUGUAAAAAUUGGAAGUGUCAUUCUUAUUUAACAAGAAAAAGUCAGAUAAACUACAAAAUCACAACUUUUCUCAAGCCCAUUAGAAAAUUGAGGUUGGAGGGUGAUUAAGCAGACUGAAAUCUAAGGAAAGACAGGCUCCUCAAAAAAGGGACAGGAUUCCCCCACCGCCCCAACCUUGGCAGAGAGCAUGGCAGGAAGAAACACUGGGUACUGUACUAGUAGGUAAGAAGUGAGCUAAAAUUUUUAAUGAACUUCUAAAGGCUUGAUGUGGGUUACUGUGACAGUGUGGAAAUCUUGGCAUUCCCAGACACAAGGGAAAUUCACACUUAUUAAUAGGUUCUUCACAAUGGACCUCUGCUAAGCGUUCACAAGAAAGACUGAGGCUAGGAGGGACACCAGAAAACGCUUUCCUAGGUGGUUCAGACCUGAAAAAAGAGAUUGCUCUCCACUGCAGGAACCUUUCCCCCUGUGGAACAAUAGCUGUAAGCUGUUGAAGGAAGGACAACAAACCAUUGCCUCUAGCAACACAAGUGAAGACCCAUUGGGGCUGGGGGGAAAGGAAAAGAAAAGAAAUCCUUUAUUCCUCAGGGAGAGAAGUAGAAAACAAUUCUAAGCAAGAAUCCUAUACCAAUCUUAUUAGUGGUCUCCUACUGGUGGGGAAGGGCAGGAAGCUAUCUCUUGCACAAGACCUUCUAAAGAUAUAAAGCAGUUAGGUUGCCAUGGGGAGGAAGGACAGAAUCACUGAAACAGUCACAUCUCUGAGACCCAGGGACACGGGGCCUGCCAGGACAGCAGAAAAUUUCCCCUCUGCUGCCCUCUCACCCCAGCCAGGCUAGCAAGCACUGAGUAACAAGCCACAGCAGCUUACCACUGGGGAACGGACAAGAAUAUGGAAGGAGAUGCCCUGUGUGGUGCAGGCACACGGGGAAGGCUAAAGGCUAAAGGUGGAGCAGAAACGUUGAGAAAAAUCCUCUAGCUUCCAGCCCCUGCACCAGGCACAAGGUAACACCAGAGGAAUUUGGAGCAACUGGUGCAUAGUAAUGAUAGCAACAACAAAACUCAGUAGAGCGAAGGUAACCAUAGCAACAACAAAACUCAGUAUAGUGAAGGUAGCCAUAGCAACGACAAAACUAAAACCCUACUCAAUUCCUGACUAGGUUGACUCAACUCCCCACAGUAAUGACCUACUAAAAGAACUUAUGUGUCCAUUUCUAGGCAUAGAUACUGUUUAUCUCAGUCUUUACUGUUCUACAUACACUGUCUGGCAUUCAAUAAAAAAAUCACGACAUAUACACAUAAGAAGAAACCCCCAACUGUUAAAAGACAAAGAGUGAAUAAAACCAAGCUCAGAGACUGCCCAGACGUUAGAAGUAUCAGGGAAUUUAAAAUAACUAUGAUCAAUAUGUUAAAAGAUGCAGUGGGGGGCUGGCCCUGUCACAUAGUGGUUAAGUUCAGCGUGCUUCACUUUGCUGGCCUGGGUUUGCAGGUUUGGAUCCUGGGCCUGGACCUCCACCACUCAUCAGCCAUGCUGUGGCGGUGACCCACAUACCAAGAAGAGGAAGAAUGGCACGGAUGUUAGCUCAGGACUGAUCUUCCUCAGGAAAAAAAAGAGGCAGAUUGGCAACAAAUGUUAGCUCAGGGCAAAUCUUCCUCAGAAAAAAAAAAUUUAAAAAGAUGUAGUGGAGAUGUGGACAAUAUACAUGAAUAGAUGGGAGAUUUCAGUAGAGAGAUGGAAAAUGUAAGAGAAAGUAAAGUGGAACUGUUAGAAAUAAAAAACAAAGUAACGGAGAGAAAGAAUUCUGUCAAUGAGCCGUUCAGGAGGCUUAUACCGCCAAAGAAAGAAUAAAUAAACCUGAAGACGGGCUAAUAGAAAUUUCCCAAGUCAAAACACAAAGAGAAAACGAAAAACCCAAAAACCCUAGGAGCACUCAAGAGCUGUGAGACAAGACCAAAUGGGCUAACGUGUAUAAUUGAAUCUCAGAAGGAGAAGAGAGAAAGAACAGGGCAGAAGAUACAAAAUUUACUCCUCCCGACCCAUUUCUUUCUCUUCUCAGAGGGAAGAUUUGUCCUGAAGUUAGUAUAUGUUCCUUCCAUCAUGUUUUAAUACUUUUUAGUACACCUGAAUGUGACUGAAAUGAUGUAUGGUAUUGUUUUUGUUUAAAAAAAAUAUAUAAAUGGCAUCAUGUUAUCUUUCUUUGCAAUCUACUUUUUUAAAUUAAAAAUUAAAAUUGGAGGACUGGCUCCUUGGCGUAGUGGUUAAGUUCAUGAACUCUGCUUUGGUGGCCUGGGGUUCACUGGUUCAGAUCCAGGGUGCAGACAUACACAUCACUCAUCAGGCCAUGCUCUGGUGGCACCCCACACAGAAGAACUAGAAGGAUCUACAACUGGAAUAUACAACUGUGUGCUGGGGCUUUGGAGAGGGAAAAACAAAAGAGGAAGAUUGGCAACAGAUGUUAGCUCAGGGCCAACCUUAAAAAAAAAUUAAAAUUGAUAAUUUUAACUAUUAUAUGAUAUAUCAUUAGUUUAUUUAUUCAUUCCCCAAGUGAUGGAAAUAUAGGUUUAUUUUAAUUUUUAAUAUUAUAAACAAUGCUGUAAUAAAUGUAUUUGCACAUGAAUACUUGUGAACAUGUGAGAUUCAUAUUUAUUCCUCAGCAUGUAAUUCUGAGUUAAGGAAAAAGCAAUUUUCAAUAUUACUAAGUAUUGACAAAUUGUUCAUUAGAACGGCUGAAUUGAUUUACACUUCUACUAGCAGUGAAUAAUAAUUUCUUAUUCUUGACAUUUUCACAAAUGCUUGGUAUUAUCAGAUCUUAAUUGUUGUCAAAUUAUGGGUGUAAAAUUCUAUUUUAAUGUUUUAAUUUUCAUUUCCCCUGAAUAUCUUUUGAUAUGUUCAUUGGAUGUUUCUGUUUUUG